Molecule: ribosomal RNA, 253 nt
Filed under: uncultured bacterium
Lineage: Bacteria
Description: partial 16S ribosomal RNA
Rfam family: Bacterial small subunit ribosomal RNA
Source: RNAcentral
UACGGAGGAUCCAAGCGUUAUCCGGAUUUAUUGGGUUUAAAGGGUGCGUAGGCGGGCCUUUAAGUCAGCGGUGAAAGUUCGUGGCUCAACCACGGAAUUGCCGUUGAUACUACUGGCCUUGAGUGUGGACGAGGUGUGCGGAAUUCGUGGUGUAGCGGUGAAAUGCUUAGAUAUCACGAAGAACACCGAUUGCGUAGGCAGCUCACCAGACCACAACUGACGCUGAGGCACGAAGGUGCGGGGAUCAAACAGG